This is a long non-coding RNA of Gadus macrocephalus (Pacific cod), 3103 nucleotides long. RefSeq lists it as uncharacterized. The transcript is spliced from 10 exons. Lineage: Eukaryota; Metazoa; Chordata; Actinopteri; Gadiformes; Gadidae. The record is from RefSeq and is a predicted model, not a curated record.
AUUCUUACGAGUGCUGCUACGACCGUAGUGGAUGAAUUGCUGAACGUGUUGAUCUGUAGACGUUGUCUAAUUCAAGUGUUUAAUUAUGUUUAAAUUCGUCUUCCAUUUUACAAGUGAACCUCAGAUGCAGUAGGUGGGGUGUGUUGCGUCCCCAGGUGAUUUACUGCUGAGACCAACUGUGUUUGUAACCAGACCAGGAAUCCAUGGCUGAAGGAGCUGAUGGAGGAGCCGUGCUGAAGGCCCUGCCUAUUGGAGGAGCUGAUGGAGGAGCCGUGCUGAAGGCCCUGCCUGGUGGAGGAGCUGAUGGAGACCCUGCCUGGGGGAGGAGCUGAUGGAGGCCCUGCCUGCUGGAGGAGCUGAUGGAGGAGCCGUGCUGAAGGCCCUGCCUGGGGGAGGAGCUGAUGGAGGCCCUUCCUGAUGGAGGCCCUGCCUGGUGGAGGCCCUGCCUGGUGGAGGAGCUCGUGGAGGUUCUGCCUGGUGGAGACCCUGCCUGGUAGAGGAUGACUUUCGCUGUUCCAGGACUCGUCCGAGGAGAGUUGAUGGUUGAGCUGAGACGCUGGAGGACGACUAGGAAUCGACCAACAAGGAUUCCUCAUAAGUUUGCAUUUACUUAACAUUGUUGACUUAAAGGGCAAAAUACAGCGGUUACUUUGACAUGCGUUAACAAACUACCGCUGUGUUUUCUUACUAGAACGUGUUUCUGGAGCGGAGGCGAGCUGGCAGGGGAGCCGUGAAUCUGGAGGAUGACCAUCACUCUACCAACAUGGAUUACGUUGGGGCCAGACUUGCGCUGUUUGUUCCAGACCAGGCCUCUGAGGAGAGCUGAUGGAGGAGCCAAGACUCUGGAGGACGACAUCACUCUACCAACAAGGAUCCUCGUAAGUUUGCAUAAAACCAGGAAUCUGGAGGACUGACGGAGAAGCUGUACAUCUGGAAGGCAAAUCCUGAGGACAACCAGGACUCUACCAUCAAGGAUUCCUCACACACCUGAGCUGAACCCCACCUGAUCCUGUUUGGUCGGGGGCAGACACACCUGAGCUGAACCCCACCUGAUCCUGUUUGGUCGGGGGCAGACACACCUGAGCUGAACCCCACCUGAUCCUGUUUGGUCGGGGGCAGACACACCUGAGCUGAACCUCCCCUGAUCCUGUUUGGUCGGGGGCAGACACACCCCAGCUGAACCCCACCUGAUCCUGACACCCUGCUGGUCCCGUCUCCUCAGUUCAUCUGAGCCUCGUCCUCAGAAGACCUGCUGAGCUCAGCGGUCUGAGGCUGAUGGAUCAAUGACCUCCAGUGGGAGUGAUCUUCUUGACCCCACAUACCAGGAAUCCAUGGCUGAAGGAGCUGAUGGAGGAGCCGUGCUGAAGGCCCUGCCUGGUGGAGGAGCUGAUGGAGACCCUGCCUGGUGGAGGAGCUGAUGGAGGCCCUGCCUGCUGGAGGAGCUGAUGGAGGAGCCGUGCUGAAGGCCCUGCCUGGUGGAGGAGCUGAUGGAGGCCCUGCCUGGUGGAGGCCCUGCCUGGUGAAGGGGCUGAUGGAGGAGGAGCUGGUGGAGGCCCUGCCUGGUGGAGGCCCUGCCUGGUGGAGACCCUGCCUGGUGGAGGCCCUGCCUGGUGAAGGGGCUGAUGGAGGAGGAGCUGGUGGAGACCCUGCCUGGUGGAGGAUGUCUGUCAUGGGACCAGGACUCGUCCGAGGAGAGUUGAUGGUUGAGCUGAGACGCUGGAGGACGACUAGGAAUCGACCAACAAGGAUUCCUCAUAAGUUUGCAUUUACUUAACAUUGUUGACUUAAAGGGCAAAAUACAGCGGUUACUUUGACAUGCGUUAACAAACUACCGCUGUGUUUUCUUACUAGAACGUGUUUCUGGAGCGGAGGCGAGCUGGCAGGGGAGCCGUGAAUCUGGAGGAUGACCAUCACUCUACCAACAAGGAUUACGUUGGGGCCAGACUUGCGCUGUUUGUUCCAGACCAGGCCUCUGGGGAGAGCUGAUGGAGGAGCCAAGACUCUGGAGGACGACAUCACUCUACCAACAAGGAUCCUCACCAGGAAUCUGGAGGACUGACGGAGAAGCUGUACAUCUGGAAGGCAAAUCCUGAGGACAACCAGGACUCUACCAUCAAGGAUUCCUCACACACCUGAGCUGAACCCCACCUGAUCCUGUUUGGUCGGGGGCAGACACACCUGAGCUGAACCCCACCUGAUCCUGACAUCCUGCUGGUCCCGUCUCCUCAGUUCAUCUGAGCCUCGUCCUCCAGAAGACCUGCUGAGCUCAGCGGUCUGAGGCUGAUGGAUCAAUGACCUCCAGUGGGAGUGAUCUUCUUGACCCCACAUGUACCCGUGUGCUUCCACACGCCUUUCCUUCACUACUUCACUAACCUCACUACUUCACUAACCUCACUACUUCACUAACCUCACUACUUCCCUAUCCUUCCCCUUCUUCUUCCUUCUCCGUGGUUCGAACCUUUACUCUGAAGGAGUGUCUUCUUGAACCUUUACUCUGAAGGAGUGUCUUCCUGCCCUCAGAGGGUUCAGCGUUAGGGUUGAGAGUCAGGGUUUAGAGUCAGGGACAGAGCUGGUCAGGGAGGUCUGGUUUUAAACAAACCUCUUCACUUGCUUUCUGAAUGGUGACAUUUUGAAAUGUUUCAUUUGGGAAAAUGUUUUCCUCUGCUUUCCUUUAGAAAAACAUGUAUUGAACUUCUGUCAAGUGUUUUUGUUUAUGUAUUAAAAUCCUACAUUGACUGUUUGGUGCGGUUCAUUUAAUUGUCCAUAAACUUGGUUAAUGUCAAGCUAAACUCCUGCAAUACAUUGAAUUUACAUGAUGAAUGUUAUUCAGCAUUGUUCACAUAAUCCAUUUUGUAAAAAUAUAAAAUAUCCAAUGUACAUACUGCCCUCGCAGGCCAUUCUCUGCUACAACACGUUCAAACAUCAACUCGGUCUAACAUCAAUGUACUAUUAUGGAAGCAUACAUGUCGCAAAAUUCAAAUGGCAAUGCGAUUUGCAAUUCAAUAAGUCAUUACAUUAUGCAAUUGAAUUUGUAAAUAUGUUAUUCAAAGUGUAUUUUAAUAUGCAAAGUGACAGUGUAAUGAAUAAAAUUAAGUUGUAACAA